RNAcentral lists this long non-coding RNA (2734 nucleotides) under Zea mays. RNAcentral's name for it is "long non-coding RNA (ZMAY_LNC005810)". The record is from RNAcentral. Lineage: Eukaryota; Viridiplantae; Streptophyta; Magnoliopsida; Poales; Poaceae.
AAUGGUCUCCACCAGAAAUCCAAGAAUGUGAUCUAUGGCAAGGAAACAUAUGUGGGGUGAGGUGUAUGAGCCUCUGGUCGAUGAUCAAUGGCCACACAACCCCCAUUUUUGUCGAAAAUAGCCAUGAACGACCAUUUUCAAUAAUAUCGAAGGCUAACACCUACGGUUUUUUGACCAAGAAAUGGUCUCCACCAGAAAUCCAAGAAUGUGAUCUACGACAAGGAAACAUAUGUGGGGUGAGGUGUAUGAGCCUCUGGUCGACGAUCAAUGGCCACAAACCCCAUUUUGCCGAAAAUAGCCAUGAAUGACCAUUUUCAAUAAUACGAAGGCUAACACGUACGAGUUUUUAACCAAGAAAUGGUUUCCACCAGAAAUCCAAGAAUGUAAUCUAUGGCAAGGAAACAUAUGUGGGGUGAGGUUUAUGAGCCUCUAGUCGAUGAUAAAUGGCCACACAACCCCAUUUUUUAUGAAAAUAGCCAUGAGCGACCUUGAAAAUAGCCAUGAGCGACCAUUUUCAAUAAUACUAGAGGCUAACACUACGGAUUUUAGACCAAGAAAUGGUCUCCACCAGAAAUCCAAGAAUGUGAUCUAUGGCAAGGAAACAUAUGUGGGGUGAGGUGUAUGAGCGUCUGGUCGAUGAUCAAUGGCCACACAACCCCAUUUUUGUCGAAAAUAGCCAUGAACGACCAUUUUCAAUAAUACGAAGGCUAACACUACGGAUUUUUGACCAAGAAAUGGUCUCCACCAGAAAUCCAAGAAUGUGAUCUAUGGCAAGGAAACAUAUGUGGGGUGAGGUGUAUGAGCCUCUGUCGAUGAUCAAUGGCCACACAACCCCAUUUUUGUCGAAAAUAGCCAUGAAUGACCAUUUUCAAAAUACCAAGGCUAACACUACGGAUUUUUGACCAAGAAAUGGUCUCCACCAGAAAUCCAAGAAUGUGAUCUAUGGCAAGGAAACAUAUGUGGGGUGAGGUGUAUGAGCCUCUGGUCGAUGAUCAAUGGCCACACAACCCCAUUUUGCCGAAAAUAGCCAUGAACGACCAUUUUCAAUAAUACGAAGGCUAACACGUACGAGUUUUUACCAAGAAAUGGUCUCCACCAGAAAUCCAAGAAUGUGAUCUAUGGCAAGGAAACAUAUGUGGGGUGAGGUUAUGAGCCUCUGGUGAUGAUAAUGGCCACACAACCCCAUUUUUUGUGAAAAUAGCCAUGAGCGACCAUUUUCAAUAAUACUAGAGGCUAACACUACGGAUUUUGACCAAGAAAUGGUCUCCACCAGAAAUCCAAGAAUGUGAUCUAUGGCAAGGAAACAUAUGUGGGGUGAGGUGUAUGAGCUCUGGUCGAUGAUCAAUGGCCACACAACCCCAUUUUUGUCGAAAAUAGCCAUGAACGACCAUUUUCAAUAAUACGAAGGCUAACACUACGGAUUUUUGACCAAGAAAUGGUCUCCACCAGAAAUCCAAGAAUGUGAUCUAUGGCAAGGAAACAUAUGUGGGGUGAGGUGUAUGAGCUCUGGUCGAUGAUCAAUGGCCACACAACCCCAUUUUUGUCGAAAAUAGCCAUGAACGACCAUUUUCAAUAAUACGAAGGCUAACACUACGGAUUUUUGACCAAGAAAUGGUCUCCACCAGAAAUCCAAGAAUGUGAUCUAUGGCAAGGAAACAUAUGUGGGGUGAGGUGUAUGAGCCUCUGGUCGAUGAUCAAUGGCCACACAACCCCAUUUUGCGAAAAUAGCCAUGAAUGACCAUUUUCAAUAAUACGAAGGCUAACACGUACGAUUUUUAACCAAGAAAUGGUCUCCACCAGAAAUCCAAGAAUGUGAUCUAUGGCAAGGAAACAUAUGUGGGGUGAGGUUUAUGAGCUCUAGUCGAUGAUAAUGGCCACACAACCCCAUUUUUUGAAAAUAGCCAUGAGACUUGAGCCAUGAGCGACAUUUUCAAUAAUACUAGAGGCUAACACUACGGAUUUUGACCAAGAAAUGGUCUCCACCAGAAAUCCAAGAAUGUGAUCUAUGGCAAGGAAACAUAUGUGGGGUGAGGUGUAUGAGCUCUGGUCGAUGAUCAAUGGCCACACAACCCCAUUUUUGUCGAAAAUAGCCAUGAACGACCAUUUUCAAUAAUACGAAGGCUAACACUACGGAUUUUUGACCAAGAAAUGGUCUCCACCAGAAAUCCAAGAAUGUGAUCUAUGGCAAGGAAACAUAUGUGGGGUGAGGUGUAUGAGCCUCUGGUCGAUGAUCAAUGGCCACACAACCCCAUUUUUGUCGAAAAUAGCCAUGAAUGACCAUUUUCAAUAAUACGAAGGCUAACACUACGGAUUUUUACCAAGAAAUGGUCUCCACCAGAAAUCCAAGAAUGUGAUCUAUGGCAAGGAAACAUAUGUGGGGUGAGGUGUAUGAGCCUCUGGUCGAUGAUCAAUGGCCACACAACCCCAUUUUGCGAAAAUAGCCAUGAAUGACCAUUUUCAAUAAUACCGAAGGCUAACACUACGAUUUUUAACCAAGAAAUGGUUCCACCAGAAAUCCAAGAAUGUGAUCUAUGGCAAGGAAACAUAUGUGGGGUGAGGUUAUGAGCCUCUGUCGAUGAUAAUGGCCACACAACCCCAUUUUUGUCGAAAAUAGCCAUGAACGACCAUUUUCAAUAAUACUAGAGGCUAACACUACGGAUUUUAGACCAAGAAAUGGUCUCCACCAGAAAUCCAAGAAUGUGAUCUAUGGCAAGGAAACAUAUGUGGGGUGAGG